GAAACAAGUUCAAGUUAUUGCACUCAGGCACUUUCUCAGUCGCCUAUACUGGGUCCUUCGUUCCUCCCGUAGUGUCCACGUGGAGAUCAUCAUGCGCUCUUAAAGUGGUAUAGACGGGUUCAUUGUACGGCAUAUGGCAGGAAGUGGCUGGUGUGCUAAGUCACAUGUCGACACCAUGAGGACAAGGAGCAACCUUGUGCUUUUGAACUCCAGGUGAGCAGCCCUGCGGUAAAAAUUCAGUAAAGGGCUGCAACCGCAACAUGGACGGGGUCACAUGACACCUGGGUCUAUGUUCACAGAAGAGUGAUCCUUUCCAGUGGUGGUAAAUUACCCAGCAUUCACGGACUAGUGGUGUGCGAGGUGAGUUUUACUAACACUGACUCUCAGUGACAAACUCGAUUUGUUUUGACUUGAUUCAUAUUUUGCUGCUUUGUAAUGAUUUGUAUGGUACAUAAAUUUGAGUUCAAUAAGGCAAAUGUAAAUAUUUGAAAAUGCUCAUAAUCGGUUACUUUUAAA
Molecule: long non-coding RNA, 516 nt
Filed under: Sinocyclocheilus grahami
Lineage: Eukaryota; Metazoa; Chordata; Actinopteri; Cypriniformes; Cyprinidae
Description: lncRNA (ENSSGRG00000033323.1)
Source: RNAcentral